This 258-nucleotide ribosomal RNA is filed under the name uncultured bacterium. RNAcentral's name for it is "partial 16S ribosomal RNA". It matches the Rfam family "Bacterial small subunit ribosomal RNA", at positions 524 to 777 of the family's 1533-position model. The record is from RNAcentral.
UACGUAGGGACCAAGCGUUGUUCGGAUUUACUGGGCGUAAAGGGCGCGUAGGCGGUGCCACAAGUCACCUGUGAAAUCUCCGGGCUUAACUCGGAGCCUGCAGGCGAAACUGUGGUGCUGGAGUGUGGGAGAGGUGCGUGGAAUUCCCGGUGUAGCGGUGAAAUGCGUAGAUAUCGGGGAGGAACACCAGUGGCGAAGGCGGCGACCUGGACGGACACUGACGCAUGAGACGGCGAAAAGCGUGGGGAGCAAACACGG